RNAcentral lists this ribosomal RNA (88 nucleotides) under Albinaria hippolyti aphrodite. Its description in RNAcentral is "partial 5.8S ribosomal RNA". It matches the Rfam family "5.8S ribosomal RNA", at positions 1 to 83 of the family's 154-position model. Rfam says of the family: 5.8S ribosomal RNA (5.8S rRNA) is a component of the large subunit of the eukaryotic ribosome. It is transcribed by RNA polymerase I as part of the 45S precursor that also contains 18S and 28S rRNA. Lineage: Eukaryota; Metazoa; Mollusca; Gastropoda; Stylommatophora; Clausiliidae. The record is from RNAcentral.
UAACUUUGAGCGGUGGAUCACUCGGCUCGUGCGUCGAUGAAGAAGCGCAAGCCAGCUUGCGUUGAAUUAAUGUGAAUUGCAGAACACA